RNAcentral lists this ribosomal RNA (482 nucleotides) under uncultured bacterium. RNAcentral's name for it is "bacterial SSU rRNA". It matches the Rfam family "Bacterial small subunit ribosomal RNA", at positions 335 to 802 of the family's 1533-position model. The record is from RNAcentral.
ACUCCUACGGGAGGCAGCAGUGGGGAAUAUUGCACAAUGGGGGAAACCCUGAUGCAGCCAUGCCGCGUGUGUGAAGAAGGCCUUCGGGUUGUAAAGCACUUUCAGUAGGGUAGGAAGGUAGUGUAGUUAACACCUGCAUUAUUUGACGUUACCUACAGAAGAAGCACCGGCUAACUCCGUGCCAGCAGCCGCGGUAAUACGGAGGGUGCGAGCGUUAAUCGGAAUUACUGGGCGUAAAGCGCAUGCAGGCGGCCUGUUAAGUCAGAUGUGAAAGCCCGGGGUCUUAACCUCGGAAUUGCAUUUGAAACUGGCAGGCUAGAGUCUUGUAGAGGGGGUUAGAAUUUCAGGUGUAGCGGUGAAAUGCGUAGAGAUCUGAAGGAAUACCAGUGGCGAACGGCGGCCCCCGUAGGACAAAGACUGACGCUCAGAUGCGAAAGCGUGGGACGCAAACGAGGAUUACGAUACCCCGUGGUAGACUGUCA